CAAUAGCGUAUAUUAAAGUUGUUGCAGUUAAAAAGCUCGUAGUUGGAUUUCUGGUCGGAAGCUCCUGUCCUCUGAUGAGCGUACAAGUGCGCCCUACCAUCCUUCUGUUAACCUUUAAGGCUUUCGCGGCUUUCUAGGGGCUCAGAUAUUUUACCUUGAGAAAAUUAGAGUGUUUCAGGCAGGCUAGCGCCGGAAUACAUUAGCAUGGAAUAAUGGAAUAGGACUUUUGCCUCUUCUGUUGGUCAUGAGGCUCGAGUAAUGAUUAAUAGGGAUAGUUGGGGGCAUUAGUACUUAACUGUCAGAGGUGAAAUUCUCGGAUUUGUUAAAGACUAACUUAUGCGAAAGCAUUUGCCAAGGAUGUUUUCAUUAA
This 370-nucleotide ribosomal RNA is filed under the name uncultured eukaryote. RNAcentral's name for it is "partial 18S ribosomal RNA". It matches the Rfam family "Eukaryotic small subunit ribosomal RNA", at positions 592 to 976 of the family's 1831-position model. The record is from RNAcentral.